Molecule: ribosomal RNA, 301 nt
Filed under: uncultured bacterium
Lineage: Bacteria
Description: partial 16S ribosomal RNA
Rfam family: Bacterial small subunit ribosomal RNA
Source: RNAcentral
CAGUAGCCGCGGUAAUACGGAGGAUCCAAGCGUUAUCCGGAUUUAUUGGGUUUAAAGGGUGCGUAGGUGGCCUGUUAAGUCAGGGGUGAAAGACGGUAGCUUAACUAUCGCAGUGCCCUUGAUACUGAUGGGCUUGAAUGAACUAGAGGUAGGCGGAAUGUGACAAGUAGCGGUGAAAUGCAUAGAUAUGUCACAGAACACCGAUUGCGAAGGCAGCUUACUAUGGUUUUAUUGACACUGAGGCACGAAAGCGUGGGGAUCAAACAGGAUUAGAUACCCCUGUAGUCCCUGUCUCUUAUAC